UAUUCAACAUUGUCCAAAGAAGCAACGCAAUUACAAAAUGAGGAGCACAAUUACCAAAAAAGAUAGUAUGUCAAAAAAUGAGUUUCUCUACCUACAAUAGGGAUCGUGCAACUGGAAUCAUGUAUAAUACUUAAUUAAGAUCUUAUCCUCUUCUUGGAUCCCUCACCUUAUUUUAAAAUAGAUAUGUAUUUAGGACCUAAAAAUCACAAAGUCCUUAUCUUAUUCACAAGCCUCAACCUAUUUUAUAGGCGAAAAUUUUGUCAAAAAUCAAAAAAUACUUUUAAUCAAGAUAACUAAAUCUGUACAUAUAGAAGUUAUAGAUGUUCGUCUGUUGUCUUUUAGAGAUAUUAUCCAUGAGACUAUUCUUUUAGAUAUAAUAAUUAAAGAUCAUAAAA
RNAcentral lists this long non-coding RNA (395 nucleotides) under Physcomitrium patens. RNAcentral's name for it is "long non-coding RNA (PPAT_LNC005252)". The record is from RNAcentral. Lineage: Eukaryota; Viridiplantae; Streptophyta; Bryopsida; Funariales; Funariaceae.